This 85-nucleotide transfer RNA is filed under the name Felis catus (domestic cat). It matches the Rfam family "tRNA". From Rfam's summary of the family: Transfer RNA (tRNA) molecules are approximately 80 nucleotides in length. Lineage: Eukaryota; Metazoa; Chordata; Mammalia; Carnivora; Felidae. The record is from Rfam by way of RNAcentral.
GCCUGGGUGGCUCAGUUGGUUAAGCUUCUGACUCCAGCUCAGGCCAUGAUCUCCUGGUUCGUGAGUUCGAGCCCCACAUCAGGCU